Saccostrea cuccullata (small rock oyster) is the source of this 1139-nucleotide long non-coding RNA. RefSeq lists it as uncharacterized. The record is from RefSeq and is a predicted model, not a curated record. The transcript is spliced from 2 exons. NCBI's taxonomy places the organism in Eukaryota, Metazoa, Mollusca, Bivalvia, Ostreida, Ostreidae.
AUUUAUAUGAUUAAUGCUUACUUGUGAUUUUAGGAUAACUGGAGAUAAUGAUUCCUUUUUUCCAUUGAUAUUACAUAAAUAUUUUCCUAAGUAUUAUGUUACAAUAAAUUGGUUUAGAUUUUUUUUAUAAAAGUAAUCAAUAAUUACAAUGGAAAUUAAAACCAUAAUCAUGUUCAUUGAGGAUUUUCAAUAUGUAACAGGUCAAACAGGAACUUCAAUUGUGAACAUUGCAGAGAACACACUCAUCAGAAGAUGACCCUCAGAAAUAGGACAAUUAAUGAAUAAAAUGGACAGAGGCAGAACUGAAGGAGAUGCAUGAAAUGAGGAAUAUUUCAAAGAUUGCCUGAGCAUAACCACUGCUACUGGAUAAACAUAUGGCAAUAUAAAAGAGCAGGGUCAAUGGAGGUAUCAUACAGUAUAGGCCAUGAGAGACCCUGAAGAAGAAAGUAUUGAACAAAAACAAAAAAAAAAAACCAUUUUGACAUUUAAUGAAAUAUAGGAUCAAAGUCUUACAUGUAAAAUUUGGGCAUGUAAUGACUUUUCUCUAGCUCUAAGACUUAUAACAGUGAUGAUUUGAUUUAAUAUCUUUAUCCCGAUUUGUCGAAAAGAUUUGGACAUAGUGCAUCAAUUAUUUUAAAGUUUUGAUACAACGAAUUCAUUCAUUGUACUUGUAACUGAGUUUUCUGGUGCGACACUGUUUUAUCGGCUUCAAAACUAAGUUUGUGAUUUCCAAACCAGAUUAAUGAGAUCAUGUAAUAUCUUUUAACAUCGGUGACUAUUUAAUCCAUUCUUUUACAUCUCAGAAGUAUUUUUAUUAUUACAGGGAAAAUAUGCAUUGUACAUGUAUCUGUAAUAAACAGGAUUAUAGAAAUUUUCUAUAUAAUACAACACAAUAUUAGCAACUGAAGGCAAAUAUUUUAUCAAGGGUGUGAUCUAUUUAUCAAUAUGGUUUUCAGCAUCUUGCUCUACCUGUAAUGACUUGCUCCAAGUUCCAAUAUUUAAAUUUAAAUUUUGCAAACAUGGUUAUAAAAUUCUUUAAAGCCAAAUAGUUUAGGCACAAAAUGCUUAUAUAUUUCCUAUCAUUUGUAAAGUGUACACUGAAUGAGAUGUGGAAUGUUAGAAUUAAAAUAUUAAAUAUG